Non-coding RNA from Parasteatoda tepidariorum (common house spider), 390 nucleotides. NCBI's taxonomy places the organism in Eukaryota, Metazoa, Arthropoda, Arachnida, Araneae, Theridiidae. The record is from RefSeq and is a predicted model, not a curated record.
AGGGCCAAUGUAAUAAACAUUCGAAAGAUAACAAGCAGAAGAACAACAAAUCAAACUUAAUUCAUAAUAUAACUGUGAUUAUUAAUUUGAAUGAUAUGCCGACUACAACAUAUUCUUAUAGACCGAAAUUUGAGAGUGUGGAGUUAUGGAGUAACAUAGGAGGCUACAUAGGAAUAUGGCUUGGAAUAUCUUUAAUCGCUUUGUGCGAUUUUUUCGAUACAGUGAUUGGUAUCCUUCUUCAUCUUUGUCAGAAGCUUCAUGUCAGAGCUAAAACAUUUCUAUUACGAAUUUUUAAACGUUAAAUUCUCAUCGUAUAAAUAAUUACAAACUGAAUAAUCUAUACUGUAUAAAAAAAAUAUAUAUAUUAAAUGAAUGCUUGAAUAGCUUUUG